RNAcentral lists this long non-coding RNA (784 nucleotides) under Homo sapiens (human). Its description in RNAcentral is "HSALNT0022123". The record is from RNAcentral. Lineage: Eukaryota; Metazoa; Chordata; Mammalia; Primates; Hominidae.
CUGAGUCUGGUGGGGACGUGGAGAGUCUUUAUAUCUAGCUCAGGGAUUGUAAAUACACCAAUCAGCACCCUGUGUUUAGCUCAAGGUUUGUCAGUGCACCAAUCGACACUCUGUAUCUAGCUGCUCUGGUGAGGACGUGGAGAGUCUUUAUGUCUAGCUCAGGGAUUGUAAAGACACCAAUCAGCACUCUGUAUCUAGCUCAAGGUUUGUAAAUACACCAAUCAGCACCCUGUGUCUAGCUCAGGGUUUGUGAAUGCACCAAUCAACACUGUAUCUAGCUGCUCUGGUGGGGCCUUGGAGAACCUGUGUGUGGAAACUCUGUAUCUAACUAAUCUGAUGGGGAGGUGGAGAACCUUUGUAUCUAGCUCAGGGAUUGUAAACGCACCAAUAAGCGCCCUGACAAAACAGGCCACUCGGCUCUACCAAUCAGCAGGAUGUGGGUGGGGCCAGAUAAGAGAAUAAAAAGCAGGCUGCCCGAGCCAGCAUUGGCAACCCGCUCGGGUCCCCUUCCCCACUGUGGAAGCUUUAUUCUUUCGCUCUGCAAUAAAUCUUGCUACUGCUCAGUUUUUGGGUCCACGCUGCUUUUACGAGCUGUAACACUCACCGUGAAGAUCUGCAGCUUCACUCCUGAGCCAGCGAGACCACGAACCCACCAGAAGGAAGAAACUCCGAACACAUCUGAACAUCAGAAGGGACAGACUCCAGAAACGCCACCUUAAGAGCUGUAACACUCACCGCCAGGGUCCGUGGCUUCAUUCUUGAAGUCAGUGAGACCAAGAACCCA